UUUUAAUUCUUAUCUGUGGGUAUAUAAUUGGUAUAUAUAUUUAUGGAGUAUAUGAGAUAUUUUGAUAUGGACAUACAAUGUAUAAAAAUCACAUGCGGGUAAGUGGGAUAUCCAUCACAUCAAGCAUUUAUCCUUUGUGUUACAAACAAUCCAAUUAUACUCUUGAUUUUUUUUUCUUAUUUCACUUAAAGUAUCUUGGUUGUUUUAAAAUGUACAAUUAUUAUUGACUAUAGUCACCCUGUUAUGCUAUCAAAUACUACAUCUUAUUCUCUUUUUUUGUACCCAUUAAAACCAUCCCCACUUCCCCCAAACCUUCCCCACUACCCUUCCCAGCCUUUGGUAACCAUCAUUCUACUCUCUUAUCUCUGUGAGUUCAGUGGUUUUAAUUUUUAGCUCCCACAAAUAAGUGAGAACAUGUGAAGUGUGUCUUUCUGUGCCUAGCUUAGUUCACUUAACAUAGUGAUCUCCAGCUUCCUCCAUGUUGUUGCAAAUGACAGGAUCUCAUCCUUUUUAUGGCUGAGUAGUACUCCAUUGUGUAUAAGUGCCACAUUUUCUCUAUCCAUUCAUCUGUUGAUGGACACUUAGGUUGUUUCCAAAUCUUGGCUGUUGUAAAUAGUGCUGCAGUAAACGUGAGAAUGCAGAUAUCCCUUCGAUAUACUGAUUUCCUUUCUUUUGGGUAUAUACCUAGCAGUGGUAUUAUGGGAUCAAAUGAUAGCUCUGUUUUUAACUUUUUGAGGAACCAUAGUGGUUGUACUAAUUUACAUUCCCAACAGCAGUGUACGAGGGUUCCCUUUUCUCCACAGCCUUGCCAGCAUUUGUUAUUGCCUGUCUUUUGGAAAAAAAGCUAUUUUAACUGGAGUGAGAUAGUAUCUGAUUGUAGUUUUGAUUUGCAUUUCUCUGAUAAUCAGUGAUGUUGAGCACCUUUUCACCUGUUUGCCAUUUGUAUAUGAAAUGUAUAUUGAGAAAUGUCUAUUCAAAUCUUUGCCCAUACUUUGAUUGGAUUAUUAGAUUUUUUCCUAUAGAGUUGUUUGAGCUCCUUAUGUAUUCUGGUUAUUAAUUCCAGAAGGAUAGUUUGCAAAUAUAUUCUCCCAUUCUGUGGGUUUUGUCUUCACUUCGUUGUUUUCUUUGCUGUGCAGAAGCUUUUUAAUUUUAUGUGAUCUUAUUUAUCCAUUUUUGUUUUGGUUGCCUGUACUUGUGAGGUAUUACUCAAGAAAUCUUUGCUCAGACCAAUCUCCUGGAGAGAUUCUCUCAUGUUUUCUCUUAUUAGUUUCAUAGUUUGAGGUCUUAGAUUUAAGUCUUCAAUUCAUUUUUUUAAUUUUUGUAUGUGGUAGGAUGGGUCUAAUUUCAUUCUUCUGCAUAUUGAUAAUCCAGUUUUCCCAGCAUUGGGGAAAGAAACUGUCCUUUCCCCAAUGUAUGUGCUUGGCAUCUUUGUCAAAAAUGAGCUCAUGGCGGAUAUAUGGAUUUAUUUCUGGGUUCUCUUCUGUUUUAUUGGUCUGUGUCUAUUUUUAUGCCAGUACCAUGCUGUUUUGGUUACUAUAGCUCUGUGGUAUAAUUUGAAGCAGGUAAUGUGAUUCCUCCAAUUUUCUUCUUUUUGCUUCAGAUAGCUUUGGCUAUUCUGGGUCUUUUGUGGUUUCAUGUAAAUUUUAGGAUUUUUUUUUCCAUUUCUGUGAAGAAUGUCAUUGAUACUUUGAUAGGGAUUGCAUUGAAUCUGUAAAUUGCUUUGGGUAGUAUAGACAUUUUAACAAUAUUGAUUCUUUUAAUUAAUGAACAUGGGAUAUCUUUCUAUUUUUUUGUGUCCUCUUCAAUUUACAAAGUACAUCAACUUUUUAUAGUUUUCAUUGUAGAGAUCUUUCACUUUGUUUAAUUCCUAGGUAUUUAAUUUUAUUUGUAGCUGUUGUAAAUGAAAUUAUUGAUUUCCUUUUCAGAUUAUUGUUGGCUUAUAGAAAUGCUACUGAUUUUUAUAUGUUGAUUUUUUAUCUUACAACUUUAGUGAAUUUGUUAGUUAGUUCUAAUAGUUUUUUGGUGGUCUUUAGGUUUUUCCGAUUAAAAUAUCAUAUCAUUGGCAAACAAUGAUAAUUUGACUUCUUUCUUUCCAAUUUGGAUGUCCUUUAUUUCUUUCUCUUGCCUGAUUGCUCCAGCUAGGACUUCCAGUGCUAUGACAAAUAACAGUGGUGAAAGUGAGCAUCCUUGUGUUUCAGAUCCUAGAGGAAAGGAAGGCUUUCAGUUUUUUCCCAUUCAGCAUGAUACUAGUGGUGAGUCUAUCAUAUAUGGUUUUUAUUAUGUUGAGGCAUGUUCUUUCUAUACUCAAUUUUUUUUAGGGUUUUUAUCCUGAACAGAUGUUGAGUUUUAUCAAAUGCUUGUUUUAGCAUCAGUUGAAAUGAUCAUUUGUUUUUGUCCUUCAUUCUGUUAACAUGGGGUAUCACGUUGAUUGAUUUGCAUAUGUUGAACUAUUUUUGCAGCCCUGGGAUAAAUUCCAUUUGGUCGUGAUGAAUGAUCUUUUUAAUAUGUUGUUGAAUUUUGUUUGCUAGUAUUUUGUUGAGGAUUUUUAGAUCAAUAUUUAUCAGUGAUGCUGGCCUAUAGUUUUUUUUUUCUUUUUAUGUGUGUCUGGUUUUGGCAUCAGAGUAAUAAUGGCCUCAUAGGAUCAGUUUGGAAGUAUUCCCUCCUGCUUUAUUUUUUAGAAUAGUUUGAGUAGGAUUGGUAUUAGUUCUUCCUUAAAUGUUUGCUAGAAUUCAGCAGUGAAGCCAUCAGGUCCCAGGCUUUUCUUUGCUGGGAGACUUUUUGGCUUUGAUCUUGUUAUUUUUUAUAUGUCUGUUCAGAUUUUGGAUUUCUUCAUGGUUCAAUCUUGCUAGGUUUUAUGUGUCUAGGAAUAUAUCCAUUUCUUCUAGGUUUUCUCAUUUAUUGGCACAUACUUGUUCAUUGUAGUCUCUAAUGAUCCUUCUAAUUUCUACAGUAUUGGUUAUAAUGUCUCCUUUUUCACCUCUGAUUUUAUUUAUUUGGGUCUUCUUUUUUUUUUCUUAGUCUGGCUAAAAGGUCACCAAUUUUGUUUAUCUUUUCAGAAAAACCAACCAUUUGUUGAUCUUUUGUAUUUUAUUUCAAUUUCAUUUAUAUCUGCUCUGAUCUUUAUUAUUUCUUCUACUAAUUUUUGAUUUGGUUUGGUCUUGCUUUUCUAGUUCUUUAAGAUGCAUUGUUAGAUUGUUUUCUCUGAUGUCACUUUGUAGUGCCCUUUUACUUUUAUUCUGACCUUUGGAGAUUAGAAUGAGGUGUAAAUUCUGAGCCUGAGCCUCAGAGAUUGCAUGUUUCCUCUCGGGCCUCUGCCAUUGCUGUGAGCACAUGUUUAGUUAAAUCUGUUAGAGGAAGUGAGGGAGAACAAACCCAGGUUGCCGCACCUGAAGCCAGCUAACCCUCAGACAUGUAAGCAAGCACAGCUAAAAUCAGUAGAGCUGCCUAGCCAAACCCCAACUCAUCCCAGACACAUGAGCAAUAAACUUGUAUGCCCCUGAGGAUUUGUGGUUGAUACAGAGCAUUGUUGUGACAUUAGACAGUUAAUAUUGUGACAUACGAACACUGAAUUAACAAUUUUUGUGGCUGGGCAUUUCUAGGUUUUUUCUUUUUCUUUUUUCCCAUAAAAAUUUGUUUCAUUUCUCAUUAUUUUCUGAGAAUAUAUAUGUAAGGAUGAAUUUACUGUGUCAAAGAGCAUAUAAGAAUCUCAGUACAUAGAAAAAUCCUUUUUAGAAAGGUCGUACCUACCAUGUAAUGCAGUUUAUGAGAUUGCCUCUUUUACAGUCUUACUGUUCUUGAUGUUUGGUAUGUUUUCUCUUUUAAUGUUUUCUAGGCUCACUUUAGGUGAAGCCCAGUCUGUAGUGAUCUGUUAGAUGAACUUCUGUAGCAGUUACAAUCUGUUCUACGUGGUUAGUUUUAUAAACCUCCUGAGUUAUUAUCAUUAACAUUUUUAUAUGUAUGUCUUUCUCUCCAACUAGGCUAUAUAUUUCCUUAGGGCAGCACAAAUAUAGCACAAUGCAUAGGUCCUCAAGUAUGUAGUUAGUAGUACAAUCUGAUUUGAGCUACAAUUUUGAAAAAUGAGUGGUCUUUUUGGGUGGGUAUUGCUUUGCUUUAAAUAACUCUUUGAGAGUCCACUCAUGAAGCAAGAAGUCAAGCAGAUUUUUAAGGCUUUGGAGAGGUGGUAAAUAGAACUUAUAGAGAGAGUUGUCCAUAUUGGUCAAGACUUUAUUUUGUUUGUAGAAGCCAAAUGUGCAUCUAAUCCUAUACAUUGUUAAAUUUUAUGAGUAGUGCUGUGUCUGGAGUUGUUUCCUUCUGGUGGGUUCAUGGUCUCGCUGACUUCAAGAAUGGAGCCAUGGACCUUCACAGUGAGUGUUACGGCUCUUAAAGAUGGCACAGACCCAAAGAGUGAGCAAGAUUUAUUGUGAAGAGCAAAAGAAUAAACCUUCUACAGCCUGGAAGAGGACCUGAGUGGGUUCUGGCUGCUGGCUGAGAUGGCCAGCUUUUAUUCCCAUAUUUGUCCCCUCCUAUGUCCUGUUUCUGUCCUAUCAGAAUGCCCUUUUCUCAAUCCUCCUUGCGAUUGGUUACUUUUAGAAUCUUGCUGAUUGGUCCAUUUUCCAGAGUGCUGAUUGGUCCAUUUUACAGAGCGUUGAUUGGUGCAUUUUACAAACCUCUUGCUAGCUACAGAGCACUGACUGGUGCGUUUUACAAUCCUAGCUACAGAGCGCUGAUUGGUGCGUUUUACAAUCCUCUUGUAAGACAGAAAAGUUCUCCAAGUCCCCACUGGACCCAGGAAGUCCAGCUGGCUUCACCUCUCAGUGCUAAUUAGUCAACCACAGAAGUCUGAUAUUGUAGUAUUAGCACAGACUGUUCAGUUUUAACACACAGUAAAUUAUUUUCUUCCUCCAGAGAAUUUUAUUGUGUAUAAUGUCACAUAUGUUAUUUAUAAAUAAUCCUGUGGACAGACAACUACAAAUGACCUAUACAGAGAAGAAAAACUAUUGGGAGAUAUUCAAGAACUAGAAAAUAUGUCUGGUAGUUUUCCUGUGUUUAUGGAUUUGGACCAGAAUAAUGCUAAUGGGCUGACUACUCAACAAAGGACAAGAUAAAUCAGUGUACAUGUGGAUUCAAGAGUGUUCUAUACUAAGAGAGUGCUGUAGAAGUCCCCAUGGAAUGUUACUAGAUUCCUGGGAUGAUGAUACUGAAUAGUCUGGAAUGUGGCAUUCUUUGUCUCAAAGAGAGUCUUUAAAAAAAUCUGUGUUCUGAUGGUAGAGUUCCAAUUUUGGCAUUUUGCCUUCUGUGAUAAUAGAUAGACUUUGACUCUAGGUAAAUUUGUGGUGGAGCAAAAGUUCGUUUGGGGUUGUUCCACUUACCCCUUACUCUUUGCCCUCCCUAGUCAUGUUUGUCCUCUUUUCUUUCUUUAUAGGCAAUGGCCUGAUACUCAUAGUCAGGAAUAAAUAAAUAGUUAUGGUUUAAAAUAUUAUUCUUGAGAGUAUUUUCAUCUUUGUCUGGGAACAAACAUGCUUAUUUGUACUUGAGUUCUUGUCCUUCUACCAUCAUCACUGGAAAAACAUCUCUGGGUAGUCACUGCCUCCCCAAACUGGACUCAGGAUGGAACUUUUGAAGCAGUGUUACCUACCCCAAACAACUCAAACCCAUAAGUAUGAGAAUAAAUGAUUAUUUUAAGCCACUGAGUUUUGGGGGUGGUUUCUUAUGCAGCAUUAUUGGCAAUAGCUGACUGAUACUCUCUACAUCUUUAAAAUUCAUUUCACUGUGCAACUUCUGAUGGGUAAUGCUUGCUCUGAUUAUAGAAGUAGGGCAACCCUCUUUCCCCAAACACCUACUAGGGUUAAAGUUCAGAUGAUAGUAGAUGUACCCCUAUCGAUUCUUUUAAAGUAGCUUGACUUUUUCUGCUAGUGUUGUCUUGAGUGGGUUAGUUAAUCCCCAUACAUUAUUUCUACACAUUACAGGUUUUACUGGUUUUAAUAGUACUCUGGAAGGUGGCUUGAGGUGGAGGAGUGAUAUGGUUUGGGUCUGUGUCCCCACCCAAAUCUCAUGUUGAAUUGUAAUUCCUGAUGUUGGGGAAGGGACAUGGAGGGAGGUGAUUGGAUCAUGGGGGAAUGGUUUCCCCUAUGCUGUUCUUGUGAUAGUAAGUGAGUUCUCAUGAGAUCUGACGGUUUUAUAAGUGUUUGGCUCCUCCCCCACCCCAUUCUGCCACCAUGUAAAGAAGGUGCUUGCUUUCCCUUCGUCUUCUGCCAUGAUUGUAAAUUUCCUGAGGCCUUCCAGUCAUGCUUCCUGUUAAGCCUGUGAAACUAUGAGUCAAUUAAACUUCUUUUCUUCAUAAAUUACCCAGUCUCAGAUUUCUUUAUAGCAGUGUGAAAACGGACUAAUAUACAAGGAGGGAUUGGGGAGGCUAAGAAGACAUAACUCCAAGUGUUCUUAGUCUUACUUCAGGCUGGGCCGCCUCUUAUUUCAGAUAUUGGCUUGUGGCAGUGUCAGUUUCCUAGUUUUGAUCCUGUACUAUGUUAUGUGAGAUGUUACCAUUGGGGGAGGCUGGGUGAAGACUACAGUUGACCCUUGAACAACACGCAUUUGAACUGUGAGGAUUCACUUGUAGGUGGAUUUUUUUUCAAUAAAUAUAUUAGAAAAUAUUUUGAAGAUUUGCAACAAUUUGAAAAAACAGACAAACCAUGUAGCCUAGAAAUAUCAAAAAAUUAAGAAAAAUUAGAUAUGGCAUGAAUGCAUAAAAUGUAUGCUAGUCUAUUUUAUCAUUUACUGCCAUAAAAUAUACAAAAAUAUAUUAUAGAAAAUUAACAUUUAACAAAACUUAGGCACACAAACACAUACAUGGCGCCAUUCACCAUCGAGAAAUGUAAACAGAUCUAAAAUUGAUUUAUUAGUCAUAACUUCAUAAAAUUAACUGUAAUAAAACAGUACUAUUGUAAUAAUUUUGUGGCCACUUCCUGUUGCUAUUGUAGUGAGCUCAUGUUGGAAGUAUCCACUUAAAAUGCCAUGUGACCCUAAUCAUCUCGGCAUGAGCAGCUCAUUUCUCUGGUAAAUUGCUUAUCACAUUAAAAAGUGAUCUCUCUUGGUUCUUGCAUGUUUUUUAUUGUGUUCAGUGCAAUACUGUAAACUUUAAAUAACACCAUGGGACCCCUAUGAAAUGCCACUAGUAAUGCUGGAAGUGCUCCCAAGAAGCAGAGAAAAAUCAUGACAAGAAAAAGUUGAGUUGCUUAAUAUGUACUAUAGAUUGAGGUUUGCAGCUGUGUCCACUAUUUCAGACAGAUGAUUCACCUUGUAAACAGAUGAUGUAAACUUACAGUAUUGAUAAAUACAACACAGUACUGUAAAUGUAUUUUCUCCUCUUGAUUUUCUUAAUAACAUUUUCUUUUCUCUAGCUUACUUUAUUGUAAGAAUACAGUAUAUAAUAUAUAUAACAUACAAAAUAUGUGUUAAUUGACUAUGUUAUUGUGAAGACUUCCAGUCCACAGUAGGCUGUUAGUAGUUAAAUUUUGGGGGAUGAUACGUGGAUUUUCAAUGGUGUAGGUGGCGGGCAUCCCUAACCCCCAUGCUGUUGAAGGAUCAGUUGUACAUUAAAUUUUUUUUCUGUGCAUCUAUAAUUAUUUCAGAAUAAAGUUAAGAGUUAAAAGUAUUGCCAUAUUAUAUAAUGCUAAUAUAAGAGGAUUAUAUAUUAGCUAAUAUAUAUAAAUAUAUCUUAAAAAUGUAUUAUAUAUUUUUUCCUCUAAUAUUAGCUAGUAUUACAAUACUGUGCUUAUAUAAUGUUUACAAGGUGAAUAAUAUAUAUAUACUAGCUAAUAUAAGCUAAUGUUAGAGGAAAAGAGAUAAUUCUUCCUUUGUUACAUGAUUUAUUUAAAGAAACGAGUGAAUAUUGACAGUUUAUUGAGCAAUCUAUCCAUCACUGAUCUCUGAGGUGUUCUUUAGAGAAAAGUUAAUGUGACAGAAAGAGUGUGUGUAUGUUUAUUCAGUCCCAUCUAAUCUAAUUUAGAAGAGUUGCAUGAAAGGACCCAUUUGUUUUUUUUAGUUGUUAUUGUUAAUGUUAGCAAAAGGGAAGGAGAUGAUAUUAGAUAAAGAAAAAGAGAAAAGCAGAUCGUCUUUUAUGUGAGGUUAUUGUUAGGGAGGUGGCACGUAAGAGAGGACUGGCAAUUUUCAAUUUUGGCAAUCCAGAAUGACUUCUGUCUUAGAAAAUGAAAAGCAAUUUAUUUUCUUUAGGAGUGUUUAGCACUGUGAAUGUUCACAGAAACAUGUUUGUUUGCUGUCAGAUAUGUGGGAAUAAGCUGAAGCCCAUAAAAGUUGGAUGGAGACUUAGCAACUUGGGAAAUAAAAUAUUCUGACAGUUUCUAGCUUUGGACUUCAACCUAUUUCAGUGAUAGUAACAUCAAUGUCCUAUGCUUUUCCCCAUGGUUCUGUGAUUUGACAAUGUACAGUGUAAGCAAGAAUAAGAGAAAUACUUUUUCUUUUUUAAAAGAUAAUUUUAAAGGUUGUGAUAUGGCUUGUCUUAGUACUUCUUUUGGUAUUUCAAAAUACCUUAUGAUAAGAGACAAUCUAACAUGGGAAAUAGUGAAACCACCUUUGCAAAAUUAUAACUGAGGAAAUUAUGAUAAUGAAAGAAAUCAGAUAUAACCGAUUCCAUCUUGCUUCCAACCUUUAAGCUGUCCUUGUUCAUUCCUGGGCAUAGGCUGAACUAACCUUGGGAAGGAAUUCAGUUCAUGGUUUGACUCUGAAACAAAAUUGAUAAAAAUUUUGUUUCCCAAAAAGACCCCUUUCUCACCUGGGGGCCAGUCUGCCUUUGUAGGACUAACAAAUUAGUUACAAGAUUAGAAAUCACAGUUCAGGGGUCAUGCAACCCCUGGCUCCAAGAGUCUGAACCUCCCCAGAUUGCUCCUGGGGAGAACAUCACUACUGUAAAACCUAAGAUCAGUCCUUGAGAUAUUUUUCAGACUCUGUACUUACUGGGUCAGCUGAGACCAUCCAGACCGGUAAUCUGGCUCAACCAGUUCUGCCAUCUCACCCAGGAACAGAAGACAGCAAGAAAAACUGACUUCGACUCCCUAUGAUUCCAUCUCCAAUCUGACCAAUCAGCACUCCCCAAUUCCCAAGACCCUACCCGCCAAAUUAUCUUUAAAAACUCUGAUCCCAUAUGGGGAGACUGAUUUGAGUAAUAAUAAAACUCUGGUCUCCUGCACAGCUGCUCUGUGUGAAUUACUCUUUCUCCACUGCAAUUCCCCUGUCUUGAUAAAUUGGCUGUCUAGGCAGCGGGUUGAGGUGAACCCAUUGGGCAGUUAGAAUAGGUCUGAUAAUAUCUUCACGUAUUCUGGCACGCCGCACUAACUAAACUUUGGAAAGUUUAGCAGCAGAUCUAUGGAAACUUAUUUAAUUUUACCCCAGCAUAUGAAUAAAUUUAUCAAGAAGGAAGCGAAAUUGGUUAUGUCACUUUAUUUUAUAACUAUUUUGUCCACAUUUUCCUUUUUCUAAGGAAUGAAUAUUUACUUGAAAGGCCCACAGACAUUAUUUAGUUAUCUUUACCAUGCAUUUGUUUCUUUUAAUAUGGCACCAUGUGGAAGUGUAGUUUUGCUCAACUCAUACGUGUGUGAAAGAAAGCAUAGUGAAUAUGACUAAGUGCAUAGGCCCAGGAACCAGAUGACCUGGGUUUAAAUCCCAGCUCUUACUGUGACCCUCAGGCAAGUGCCUUCUUUUAACUCAGUUUCCUCAUCUGUAAAACAGGAAUUUCAUUGUUUAAAAUUGUGGGGUCCAAUUAUUCUGAGGUUAAUAGUAAAGCAGUAUUUUUCAGGUGCCCUGGCACAAAAGGGCUGGAAGUGCAAAAAGAAAGACAAAUGGGACUGGAGCAAUAAAAUGGAAGAUGAAGGGGUGAUAUCCAGAGAUCAGAAAUUGGAGAUGCCCCUGGGCUGGCUGCUGCACCAUUGGAGGCACUGUUAGAGUCAAGCUUGGAUCUGCUGAAGAGGUGUCACUCAGCCAAAGGGUGCUGCCUCUGCCCUAGCUGGUCAUCUGGAUUCACUUCAUUCACAUAGCAGCAAGAGUAUCUGCCACCAACUACCAUACAUUUGGAGUCAAGAGCCUUUCUCUUUUUUUUUUCAGCCUUCUCAGUUCCUUUCAGUGCCUAACAAGAGAAGCAAGAGAGCCUGGAAAUGUAGUUUGAUACCUCCCAGCCCUAGAUGUUCACAGUAUAGAAGGAGAGACUGUGACUUCUGUCUUGCUCGCCAUUUCUCAUUCUCUCUUUUUGGAGCUCUUGCUCUGGAGGAAGUGAGCUGCCAUGUUAUAAACUGCCCUAUGAAGAGGUCCAUGUGACAAGGAACUGAUGUCCCUGGCCAACAGCCAGUGAGGCCCUAAGGCCUGCAACACUCUGUGAGUGAGCCUGGAAAUGAAUCUUCUGAGCCUACCAACAACCACACUGAUCCUUAAAAUGGCUAUAGCUCCAGGUCCUUGAUUGCAGUCUUUCAAAAGACUGUGAUUCAGGGCAUUCAGGAAAGUCAUGUUUGAAUUUUUGACCCACGGAAACUUUGAGAUAAUAAGUGUUGUUUUAUUAUUUAUUUUUAAGCCACCAAAUCGGGGAGUAAUUUGUUACACAGAAAUAGAAAGUACAUCCAGGAAUGUGACUGUUGGGUUGUAGGAUGCAUAUGUAGGGGGAAAAUAACUCCCAUACGUUUGUAAUCGGAAAAGAUCCCCGUUACAAAAGACAGAUUAACAAGAGAAAAACAAGUUUAUUAACGUGUAUUUCAUAUGUACAAGGGAGAUAUCAAUGAUUAGUUCUCAAAGAAGUAGCUUUGAAUUCUAGCUUUUAUUUUAUUUUCAACAAAGAAGAGUAAAUUUUUAGAGAAGUGACAGCACAAAGGAAAAGGACUUGGAGUCUCUACAAGCAGCAACUUGUGGGGAAGGCAAACAAAUGGCAGAUAAAGGAUGGUAAAGGAGGUGGUGUUACAUUUCUGUACUGCUGGUGCAUUGAGAGACCCAAGCAAGUAUCAGGCUUUUCAUCCGUGGAACACAUGCUCCAGAACCUUCUAGCUGUUCACUUGUGAUGGAUACUCUGUUAGCCUUCACUAUUGAAUGCACUUUUAAAAAUGAUCAAAACCAACAUUUCCCACAGUAUGAAAUGUUUGCAAAAAAGGUAUGUUGGGUUUGUUAGGGCUAGAAAUUGUUAUUCUAAGUAAAGAAACCUGGAGAAUUUUCCUAAGCCAGCUAAAUUUAUUCGACAACAGUACAGUUUUAUUUGAUGCCUGCUGCUAAGUUUAAUUAAGUUAUUUGCUGGGUUUUCCAUUUGUCCCUCUGACUUUAGUGUAAACUUAUUACUCAUCCAAGAUGUGGGCCAAUGCUUCUUUUCAAACUUGUGCUAACUAAUAACAGAGACCAGAGCUGGAACUUAGUCAAGGCAAAGCUACAAGCCAAACAGUGGUGGAGAAGGGUGGAACAUGUCGUGACUUGAGGUAAUGAUGAGCAUGUGGGUGAAGUGAGGGGCAGUAAGACCAUAUGGGGAACGCUGAGGCCAAGUGGGUGUGUGUCAAUGGAGGGCAUGCAUGCAUAGGGUUGGGCACUGGGCACUCCCCGUAUAACCACUAACAGAUUAAAAACUCUGGUACUUUUGCUGAUUCCUUAAAUAAGGGAAUAUAUGGAAUUUUGUAUAAGUCUCAGUUGUGAUGAAUUGUUCCUCAGUUGUGAUGAAUUGUUUCUGCAGUUAACCAAAUUGGGAUUUGGAACAUUUAAAAGCCUGAUAUACAAUGUACAAAAUUCAGUAGCACUUCUGUACUUCUUUUUUUGUUUUUUUGAGUCAGGGUCUCACUCUGUCACCAGGCUGGAGUGUAGUGGUGCGAUCUCAGCUCACGGCAACCUUUGCCUCCCAGGCUCAUGUGAUACUCCCAACUCAGCCUCCCAAGUAGCUGGGACUACAGGCAUGCAUCACCACGUCCAGCUAAUUUCUGUAUCUUUUGGUAGAGAUGGGGGUUUUGCUAUGUUGCCUAGGCUGGUCUCGAACUCCUGAGCUCAGGCGAUCUGCCUGUGUCAGCCUCCCAAGGUGCUUGGAUUACAGGCGUGAGCCACUGUGCCCUGCCAAAAAUCAGUAGCACUUCUAGAUACCAACAACAUCUAAGCUAAGAACCAAAUCAAGAAUGCAAUCUCAUUCACAAUAGCCACAAGAAGAAUGAAAUACCCAGGAAUACAGCUAACCAGGGAGUGAAAGAUCUGUACAAUGAGAAUUACAAAACACUGCUGAAAGAAAUCAGAGAUGACACAAACAAAUGGAAAAAUGUUUCAUGCUCAUGAAUAGGAAAAAUCAAUAUUGUUAAAAUGGACAUAUUGCCCGAAGUGAUUUACAGAUUCAAUGUGAUUCCUAUCAAACUACCAAUGACAUUCUUUACAGAAUUAGAAAAAGUUUUUUCUUAUUUAAAAUUCAUAUAGAAACAAAAAAGAGCCUGAAUAGCCAAAGCAAUUCUAAACAAAAAGAACAAAGCUGGAAGCAUCACAUUAUCCUACUUCAAACUAUGUUACGAGUCUACAGUGACCAAAACAGCAUGGUACUGUACAAAAACAGACACAUAGACCAAUGGAACCAAAUAGAGUGCCCAGAAAUAAAGCUGCACACCUGCAACCAUCUGAUCUUUGACAAAGUCAAUGAAAACAAGCAAUAGGGAAAGGACUCCCUGUUUAAUAAAUCAUGCUGGGAUAGCUUGCUCGCCAUAUGCAGAAGAUUGAAACUGGACCCCUACCUUUCACCAUAUAGAAAAAUUAACUCAAGAUGGAUUAAAGACUUAUAUGUAAAACCUAAAACUAUAAAAACUCUCGUAGAAAACCUAGGAAAUACCAUUCCAGACAUAGGCCCUGGCAAAGAUUUCAUGAUGAAGGUGCCAAAAGCAAUUGCAACAAAAACAAAAAUUGGCAAAUGGGACCUAGUUAUACUAAAGACCUUCUGCACAGCAAAAGAAACAAUCAACAGAGUAAACAGAUAAUCCACAGAAUGGGGGAAAAUAUUUGCAAACUAUGAAUCUGACAAAGGUCUAAUAUUCAGGAUCUAAAAGGAGCUUAAACAAAUUAACAAGCAAAAACCAAGCAACUCCCUUAAACAGUGGGCAAAGGGCAUGAACGCUUUUCAAAAGAAGGCAUAACAAAUGGCCAACAAGCAUAUGAAAAAAUGUCCAACAUCACUAAUCACUAGAGAAAUGCAAAUCAAAACCACAAUGAGAUAGAUACCAUUUUCCACCAGUCAGAAUGACUAUUACUAAAAGGUCAAAAAAUAACAGAUGCUGGUGAGGUUGUAGGAAAAAGGGAACGCUUAUGCACUACUGGUGGGAAUGUAAAUUAGUUCAGCCCCCAUGGAAAGCAGUUUGGUGAUUUCUCAAAGAACUUAAAACAGAACUACCAUUCAACCCAACAAUCCCAUUAUUGGGUAUAUACCCAAAGGAAUAUAAAUCAUUCUACCAUAAAGACACAUGCAUGCAUAUGUUCAUUGCAGCACUAUUCACAAUGGCAAAGACAUGGAAUCAACCUAGAUGCCCAUCAACAGUAGACUGGAUAAAGAAAAUGUGGUACAUAUACAUAUGGAGUACUAUGCAGCCAUAAAAAUUAAUAAGAUCAUGUCCUUUACAGCAACAUGGUUGGAGCUGGAGUUAUUUUAAGUUAUUCUAAGAAAACUAACCUAGGAACCAAAAACCAAAUGCUGUGUGUUCUCACUUAUAAGUGGGAGCUAAACAUUGGUACAUAUGGACACAAAGAAGGGAACAAUAGGCACUGGGACCUACUUGAGGGUGGAGGGUGGGAAGCAGGUGAAGAUCAAAAAACUACCUUGGAUACCAUGUUUAUUACUAGGUGAUGAAAUAAUCUAUACACCAAACUCCUGCAACAUGCAAUUUACAUAUAUUACAAACCUGCACAUAUACUCCUGAAACUAAGUGUUUUUCUUAAAAUUAAUGUAAAGAUAGUUUGCUUUACAUUCCUCUUACCACAUGCAACAGGUCACAUGCAUCAUAAA
Long non-coding RNA from Homo sapiens (human), 13987 nucleotides. RefSeq lists it as uncharacterized. The transcript is spliced from 3 exons. The record is from RefSeq and is a predicted model, not a curated record. NCBI's taxonomy places the organism in Eukaryota, Metazoa, Chordata, Mammalia, Primates, Hominidae.